UUCCAGACUCCUACGGGAGGCAGCAGUGGGGAAUAUUGCACAAUGGGGGAAACCCUGAUGCAGCGACGCCGCGUGAGUGAAGAAGUAUUUCGGUAUGUAAAGCUCUAUCAGCAGGGAAGAUAAUGACGGUACCUGACUAAGAAGCCCCGGCUAACUACGUGCCAGCAGCCGCGGUAAUACGUAGGGGGCAAGCGUUAUCCGGAUUUACUGGGUGUAAAGGGUGCGUAGGUGGCAUGGCAAGUCAGAAGUGAAAGCCCGGGGCUCAGCCCCGCGGACUGCUUUUGAAACUGUCAGGCUGGAGUACAGGAGAGGUAAGCGGAAUUCCUAGUGUAGCGGUGAAAUGCGUAGAUAUUAGGAGGAACACCAGUGGCGAAGGCGGCUUACUGGACUGUAACUGACACUGAGGCACGAAAGCGUGGGGAGCAAACAGGAUUAGAUACCCCAGUAAU
Molecule: ribosomal RNA, 449 nt
Filed under: uncultured bacterium
Lineage: Bacteria
Description: bacterial SSU rRNA
Rfam family: Bacterial small subunit ribosomal RNA
Source: RNAcentral